RNAcentral lists this unclassified non-coding RNA (190 nucleotides) under uncultured Paecilomyces. Its description in RNAcentral is "sequence contains ITS1". Lineage: Eukaryota; Fungi; Ascomycota; Eurotiomycetes; Eurotiales; Thermoascaceae. The record is from RNAcentral.
CCGAGUUUACAACUCCCAAACCCCCUGUGAACUUAUACCAUUUACUGUUGCUUCGGCGGGUCAUGGCCCCGGGGAAGGACAGCGGUCGCCGUCAGGCCUCAGCUGCCCGCCCCCGGAAACAGGCGCCCGCCGGGGAACUCAAACUCUUGUUUUAUACAGUAUCUUCUGAGUAACACGAUUAAAUAAAUCA